AUAAGCUAUAACUUAUUAUUGUUAAUUGAAGAGUAGCAUAAAUAGAAGCUGAUCCAUGACGAUCAUCGACAGCGAUCUGGCUGGCGUGACCUACCCGCGAUGCCCACGACGGUGAUAAUGCCUAUGUUUUUUGUGAACUCAACAACAGCAACUGCCAGCAACAAGGACAUAUUAUCACAGAUUUUUACUCGGAGCAACCGCUUGCAUUAAUUUACGUUUAUCCCGAUUGAAAGCACCCUAUCAAAAUCCACUACAAAACCAUCCCAUUUUCGGAUUCCAUGACAAACGUAUUGGGAAUUGUAUGGGAAUAGCCGGAGGCCCGGCCGGAGGCAAAAACAUCUUGACUGAGGAGCAUGAAUUACGUCGCAAUCAAACAACUCCAAUGAGUUCGAAAUGGUGCUCCAGCGACAAUCGAGCCGAAUGAAAAUGUUCGUUAAUCAUCGCCGAUUAGAAGAGAAGAAGCGUGCCGUCCCAAUAGAAAAGGAAACAAGCAAUAAGGACACAUACUUCCGAUUUAAUCCUUCAAUCGAUGUUAAAGUGCCGAGACCUUGCAUGUAAAUUGGUCAUAAUCUCCGUAAAGAUCAUUCUGAGUAAUGAUUGACAUAGCUUAGUUUAAAAUCUUUUGUUUUAUUAUUAUAUAAUUUUAAAAUAAUAUAUAUAAUAUUAAAAUAUAACUUUAUAUAAAUAUAAAAAACACCAUACGUUUGAUUAA
Armigeres subalbatus is the source of this 712-nucleotide long non-coding RNA. RefSeq lists it as uncharacterized. The record is from RefSeq and is a predicted model, not a curated record. NCBI's taxonomy places the organism in Eukaryota, Metazoa, Arthropoda, Insecta, Diptera, Culicidae. The transcript has 4 exons.